UUCUCCUUGCUUUUCCUUCAGUGUGGCGUUGAAAACAUCAGAAGAGCAGAGUCACUUAAUGGAAACCCACUGUUCUCCAAGGCUCUGGCAGACUUGGUCUGCUCACACAUCCAGUCCAAUGAAAUCUGCUCCAAGCAGCUGACGCUCUGCUGCCCGCUCUGCGUGAAUCCUGUCUGCAGGGAGACCAAAGCCUUCUUCACCAGCCAGCAGCUGUGAUGGGCAGGCUGUCUUGUGCAGGAACUGUCCUGGUGAAGCGGUGCUUGACCAAGCUCUCCUGUGCUACAUCCUUAGUCUGGUAGUCCCAGCAGUGGUAACCUCAUAGAGCAGUGAGGAGGAUUUUGGUUUUUUUCUUAUGUUUCCUUAGUUUAAGAAGUGUUUGUAACAAGUAGGUUUAUCCUGUGAGAUGUGGGAAGGUCUCAUCUCAUCUGAUUCUGAUUGGAGUUAGCAUGAGUAUGCACUGAAAAACUUCAAGAAUAUGAAAAACGGGGCUUCUAUACAGAUUGGCUUCUAUUUCCUAUGCAGGGAUUUAUUUGUAUGCAAUUUUGUCGUGAGUGCAUUAAUUUCAGUUUUCCAGAUCAAGCAUACAAUUAUUUUUGUUUUUACGUAAGGCAUAGCAUAACUAGCGUAGCCACCAGUUGUUUCUUCUGACUUCGGAUGGGUUUGAAGAUCAAGUGACCUCUAAUGCUUUUUAAAUGUCAUUUUUUUAGAGCCUGAAGAUAAGCUUUUGUUUUGUUUUCUCUUGCUAGAAAUUUCCUGUGGGAUAGUAGAACUCAUAAGGUUUGUUUACAUUUUCUAGAGAAGAAAACCACUCAUCACCUGCAGGAAAACCCCUGCAUUUGCAAAACAUACAGAAAUAAUUCUGGUUGCUGAUGCUGCAGCAUGUGUACAGCGUGUGUUUCAAAUCCAGCACACGUUGAAACAUUUUGGAUCAUCUUCUAAGCAAAAUGGCUUUUUUAUCAUUAUUAAAAAGGGCUUUCUCUGGUUAAGUAAGUGUAGGAAGUUGGGCUUGUUCUCCAGCAGGUUUAUAGAUUGACUGUGCUUUCUGCUGUGUCACAGCCCUGUGGUUUUUGUGGGAUGCUAUGGAGUUACAUAGGUACAAUUGAUCUAGCUUAAUUGAUGAUGCUAUUUAAAAAUGAGAUGAUAAAUCAAGAGUCAUUUACAUUGCAGAUGUCCAAGCACACAGUGAGAGGAGAGCAGGCUGCCCCUCACACUGAUGGCUGUGUUGUUAGCAUACCUCUGUCAGAAGCUAAAUUCCAUCUGUUCAAUUUCUAGCAGCAGUGGUGAGCCUACAGCUGCUCUCUUAGCUCACCUGUGCUUAUUGCAUGUUGGGCAAGUAUCUGUUUGCACCAGGGCUCCUGCAUCCACUGCUAAGCAGCAGCAGUUCUGUGGAGUGAGAAAGCUCUUAGGGCUUAAUCAGCACUGACAUGCCAGUCCUGCAGCAAUGCAGGGUGUUCUGUAAAGUGAUGAUAGCUCAUCAUGAAGUUUGGGAAUCUGACAGCUUGCUGCUCGGACAGUAAUUUUUGCUUAUGUAACCGAGGCAGGAGCAGUUUGAAUCCCUGAUCUUUCAAGGAUGGCAUUGUUUAAAAAACUGAUAGGCCUCUGUUGGUAUAACAGGGACUUAUCUUGUUCUGUUUUAUGCUACAAGAGUUAACUAGGGGAUAUUAAAAAAGUAAAAGGCUGCUGUGUUGGCCAGCCAGCAGCCUGGGCAUUGCCAUGGAGCAGCACAAAUCUUGCCACGUGGGCAUCCAUGGCCCCGUAUGCCUCAAGGGUUGACUGAAACCUCUCCACUGCCAGCCUGUAGCUCCCAGUGUGGCUCUGGUGAGACAGGCUGAGUUCUCAGCACCAGGGCCUCCUGUGUUGCUGCUGUAGCACAGAAAUCUUCCUCCGUCUGUGGUAUGUGUGCCUCCUCUUGGGGCAGGAGAAGCAGGGACAGGCCUGCAGGUGCCCAAAUGGCAGCACGCUCUCUGCCCAGGGCUGUGGCUUCCAGAACCUCUCUGUGCUUUCAGUGCUCUCUGAUUAGCAGAAGUUGUUUUCAAACAGCAGGAGAAUCUGUAGGACAGUUUUUCCCUGUCAGUGGACAUGAGUAGAGAGCAGACUCUUGGGUGUUGAGUAGGACCAGUGGCAUGGCAGCAGGGUGCAGUCAUCCAAAGCUGUCUCCCUCCAGGAGCCUUGGUUGCCUUCACGCUUUUCAGCUCUCGCUGAGCCUGUCUUGGCACAGCGGGCAUCCGAAUGCCUGCGUUGCUGCAGGGAGGUUGGCUCCCUCCUGCCUUCUGCUCAGCCCCUGGGCUCUGCUCGCUGUCCCAGCAGGAGGAGGGAGCAGGAAGCUGAUCCCUGCCCAGGUGCAGUUGGCAGGGUCACCGCAUGGUGUAGGGCUGAGACUUCCAUAGAAAGACUUCGAAUCGAUGCCAUAAGAACGAUGAUGUCAGCAGUGAGUGUGGGCAGUGAGCUGUUGCCUUAUGUCUCUCAUUGGUUGAGGACUCCUCUCGAUCCCCACUUCUCUGUGUGAUGCUUGUGGGUGGGUGGCAGAAGGCUUUGUCAAGCCUUACUGCUCAUGCCCUUUUCCUACCAGCUAAUGGUCGUGGCCACCUCUGAAUCUGGGAACUGAAGGUUAACUUUACAUGAUCGUUGCAGUGCAAUAAAUACAGAUUGGCUUUUUAUUUCCAUACUGGAGAGAGUACUGAAAAUACUAGCUGGCACUAAUUAUGAAGCAUUACAUAAAAGGUAUUUAAAAUGCACUUUUUAGUGAGCUAACCGCAAGCGAGAUAAUUACUAAGCAUCUUUAGCCAUUGUUGCUAUCAGACCAUAAUGCAGAAAUAGCUUAAUUUUCCAGCUUUUAGCAAAUGGAUCACGUCACACAGCCACUGGGUUAUUUCAUUUUCCUGAAUAGUUCAUUGUGAUAUCACCCUGUCCUGUUAUUUAGCACACGUUAUUUCAUCUUAGAGCAACACCAAAAGCCUGUCAAAAAGCUUUCUGAGCAAGCUCUGCUCUUAUUUUUAAUAGGAAUAGUUUUUUCCCCUUGCACUUAGAAAUAAAUCUGAAAAAUGAAACCUGAGAGACUGACAACAGUGGGAAUUUAUCAGCCAUUGAGAUCUCCCGAUUCUGGGCUUUGUCUGGGGGCAUUUAACACUGUGUUUUUCAGCAGUGCGGUGCACUUGACCUUCCUUUGGAUGCUUCCAAGCCGGCUGUCCACAUCCGAGCCGCUGCCCUAGGUCCUGUCUGUGGUGAGGGGAUAUGUUUUGGGGCAUUUUCCCCUCCAUUCUUGUGCCUUCCUGCCAUCCACCCUCCGCGGUGCUUCGUAGCUGCUGCAUUUGGGAGGCUGUACUCUAAGCACUGCUGCUGCGCGUUCCGUUUUCCUCUCUGACAGAUUUUCAGCAUUUGGUGCUAUUAACUCAGGACCCGGUCUUGUCAGAUCCUGAGCACUUUGCUCUGAUUGAAUUGAUCCAAGUGCAUGGAAUUGUCAGCACUGGGAGGCCGCCGUCCUCUAGCCAUAAUCUAGCUUGACUUUUCUUUAUCAAUUAUAUUCCUCAGCAGAACUUUGUCUGAGAGUGUUUGUCAUUUCCAUUUGCCUUGGCAGUGCGCAGCAAGGUGGGAGUGUGGGUGACAUUUUUCUCCCUUGGAGUUCUAUGAAAUCUGGCUGCAUUUUAGCAGACAGGACAGCUUCCAGGAGCAGUGCUGUAACACUGAACAGCGCAGGGAUAAAUUCAGUGAGCUAGGGUCAGAGGGGUUUUCUUUGGAAAUAAGCUCCAUCUUGUGUUCCUCUUUUGUCACACCGGGAGAGAUGGAAAUCAACACGAAGUGUAAGGUGUAAAGGAGGGAGGUGUUUCUUUGACUGUUUCAUGCCAGAUGUGCACAAAUACUUGUGUUUAGUCUACCGUGUUUAUUUCAUAUUCAAGGACUUCCAUGUAAUGUAAGGAUUUGUAUAACCUUGCUGUGUGUCAUGUACCGUAACAAUGGAAUUUCAAUUAAAGACUUUUGGAGGAAAUGGCU
Non-coding RNA from Meleagris gallopavo (turkey), 3987 nucleotides. Lineage: Eukaryota; Metazoa; Chordata; Aves; Galliformes; Phasianidae. The record is from RefSeq and is a predicted model, not a curated record.